Sapajus apella (tufted capuchin) is the source of this 458-nucleotide long non-coding RNA. RefSeq lists it as uncharacterized. The record is from RefSeq and is a predicted model, not a curated record. Lineage: Eukaryota; Metazoa; Chordata; Mammalia; Primates; Cebidae. The transcript is spliced from 3 exons.
AUCCACCCACUUCGGCCUCCCAGAGUGCUGGAAUUACAGGCAUGAGCCACCACGCCCGACCCCUACUUCUGCUUCCUAAAGAUCUCCCUUCUCAGGCUGCAACAUGCCAGGGCAGAGUUGAGAUUCUGGCCACUCAGGCCACACGAGUAUCUAGUAAGUCCUGGGUAAGAAACAGAAUUUUGAGCUUAGUAAGCUAAAGGGGGCUGAAAAGGAGUGAGACCGAAACAUGGAUAACUUUAAAGGAGAGACAAUUGGAGCAUUGAGUGUUCUCAGCUGGCAGUGGGCAGCGCAUGCUCCACUUGAUGCUGGCACCUCCGCGGGCAUCAGUCUCCUCCCCUGUGGAAGAGGGAUGAUUGCGUCUUCCUCACAGGGUCGUUGGUGGUGCUCAUGGGACGCUUGUGGGGGGCAUGAUGCUGUGACCUCAGUUUGCCUGAUUUCCCAGGUGGCUUCAUUUGGAG